GUGUGAUACACCGGUAAACAGGUCUGCGCCACGUUUACACCGUGGAUGUCCGGGGUUCGAAUCCCUGCGCGCCCA
This 75-nucleotide transfer RNA is filed under the name Spirochaetaceae bacterium. Its description in RNAcentral is "tRNA-Val". The record is from RNAcentral. Lineage: Bacteria; Pseudomonadati; Spirochaetota; Spirochaetia; Spirochaetales; Spirochaetaceae.